RNAcentral lists this ribosomal RNA (253 nucleotides) under uncultured bacterium. RNAcentral's name for it is "partial 16S ribosomal RNA". It matches the Rfam family "Bacterial small subunit ribosomal RNA", at positions 524 to 777 of the family's 1533-position model. The record is from RNAcentral.
GACGAACCGUGCGAACGUUGUUCGGAAUCACUGGGCUUAAAGGGCGCGUAGGCGGGCGAGCAAGUUCGGGGUGAAAUCUUUCGGCUCAACCGGAAAAGGGCCUCGGAGACUGCUCGUCUGGAGGGAGGUAGGGGCAGGUGGAACUGCUGGUGGAGCGGUGAAAUGCGUUGAUAUCAGCAGGAACGCCGGUGGCGAAGCGACCUGCUGGACCUCUUCUGACGCUGAGGCGCGAAAGCUAGGGGAGCAAACGGGG